GACGAACGCUGGCGGCGUGCCUAAUACAUGCAAGUUGAGCGCUGAAGGUUGGUACUUGUACCAACUGGAUGAGCAGCGAACGGGUGAGUAACGCGUGGGGAAUCUGCCUUUGAGCGGGGGACAACAUUUGGAAACGAAUGUUAAUACCGCAUAAAAACUUUAAACACAAGUUUUAAGUUUGAAAGAUGCAAUUGCAUCACUCAAAGAUGAUCCCGCGUUGUAUUAGCUAGUUGGUGAGGUAAAGGCUCACCAAGGCGAUGAUACAUAGCCGACCUGAGAGGGUGAUCGGCCACAUUGGGACUGAGACACGGCCCAAACUCCUACGGGAGGCAGCAGUAGGGAAUCUUCGGCAAAGGACGAAAGUCUGACCGAGCAACGCCGCGUGAGUGAAGAAGGUUUUCGGAUCGUAAAACUCUGUUGGUAGAGAAGAACGUUGGUGAGAGUGGAAAGCUCAUCAAGUGACGGUAACUACCCAGAAAGGGACGGCUAACUACGU
This 496-nucleotide ribosomal RNA is filed under the name uncultured bacterium. RNAcentral describes it as "partial 16S ribosomal RNA". It matches the Rfam family "Bacterial small subunit ribosomal RNA", at positions 28 to 506 of the family's 1533-position model. The record is from RNAcentral.